AGACCUCUGAUCAGAAAAGACUACCCGCUGAAUUUAAGCAUAUCACUAAGCGGAGGAGAAGAAACUAACCAGGAUUUCCCUAGUAACGGCGAGCGAACCGGAAAGAGCCCAGCUUG
Molecule: ribosomal RNA, 116 nt
Filed under: Leucobryum juniperoideum
Lineage: Eukaryota; Viridiplantae; Streptophyta; Bryopsida; Dicranales; Leucobryaceae
Description: partial 26S rRNA
Rfam family: Eukaryotic large subunit ribosomal RNA
Source: RNAcentral